UACGGGGGGGGCAAGCGUUGUUCGGAAUUACUGGGCGUAAAGGGCUCGUAGGCGGCCAACUAAGUCAGACGUGAAAUCCCUCGGCUUAACCGGGGAACUGCGUCUGAUACUGGAUGGCUUGAGUUUGGGAGAGGGAUGCGGAAUUCCAGGUGUAGCGGUGAAAUGCGUAGAUAUCGGAAGGAAGACCAGUGGCGAAGGCGGGUCUCUGGACAGUUCCUGACGCUGAGGCACGAAGGUCAGGGGAGCAAACGGG
Molecule: ribosomal RNA, 253 nt
Filed under: uncultured bacterium
Lineage: Bacteria
Description: partial 16S ribosomal RNA
Rfam family: Bacterial small subunit ribosomal RNA
Source: RNAcentral